UGAAUUGACGGGGGCCCGCACAAGCGGUGGAGCAUGUGGUUUAAUUCGAUGCAACGCGAAGAACCUUACCUGGGCUUGACAUCCCGAGAAUCCCCUGGAAACAGGGGAGUGCCUUCGGGGAGCUCGGAGACAGGUGCUGCAUGGCUGUCGUCAGCUCGUGUCGUGAGAUGUUGGGUUAAGUCCCGCAACGAGCGCAACCCUUGUCUUUAAUUGCCAUCAUUGAGUUGGGCACUUUAAAGAGACUGCCGGUGUUAAACCGGAGGAAGGUGGGGAUGACGUCAAGUCCUCAUGGCCUUUAUGCCCAGGGCUACACACGUGCUACAAUGGUCGGUACAAUGGGAUGCCAAGCCGUGAGGCGGAGCAAAUCCUCAAAGCCGGCCUCAGUUCGAAUUGGAGGCUGCAACUCGCCUCCAUGAAGUCGGAGUUGCUAGUAACCGCAGGUCAGCUAUACUGCGGUGAAUACGUUCCCGGGGCUU
Molecule: ribosomal RNA, 476 nt
Filed under: uncultured Syntrophaceae bacterium
Lineage: Bacteria; Pseudomonadati; Thermodesulfobacteriota; Syntrophia; Syntrophales; Syntrophaceae
Description: bacterial SSU rRNA
Rfam family: Bacterial small subunit ribosomal RNA
Source: RNAcentral